GAUCAUGGCUCAGGAUGAACGCUAGCUACAGGCUUAACACAUGCAAGUCGAGGGGCAGCAUGGUCUUAGCUUGCUAAGACUGAUGGCGACCGGCGCACGGGUGAGUAACACGUAUCCAACCUGCCGUCUACUCUUGGACAGCCUUCUGAAAGGAAGAUUAAUACAAGAUGGCAUCAUGAGUCCGCAUGUUCACAUGNUUAAAGGUAUUCCGUGGACGA
Molecule: ribosomal RNA, 218 nt
Filed under: uncultured bacterium
Lineage: Bacteria
Description: partial 16S ribosomal RNA
Rfam family: Bacterial small subunit ribosomal RNA
Source: RNAcentral